GACUCCAAAGUUUUGAAAUAUACCAAUCCAAUAGUAACAUCAUAGCCGGCAAGGCGAUUAAGCUCACACAAGCAUACAUAAGCAUAAUCAAUAUUCACUCACAAGCAUGCAUCAUGCAACAACUAGUCAAAUUAAAUCUGGAUUGUGGAACUGCAAUUAAUUACAUGCCGAAUGUCUUUUUCAAAUUAUGCCACCAUCCCCCAAACUUAUACAAGACAUUGUCCUCAAUGCGAAAAUCAAAGUUUAGAUGGCAGAAUUUAAAGAAAAUGACUACAAAUGAGGCAAACGAUACUCCCUUGAUCAAUACGGAGGUUGCGAUGGGAAGCUAGAACCUGCAGUACCAUCAGCUGGAGGUUGAGGUAGGCGCGCCAAGAUCUCCCUCAUCAGUGCUGACUGCUGUGUCAUUUCAUC
Molecule: long non-coding RNA, 411 nt
Filed under: Olea europaea (common olive)
Lineage: Eukaryota; Viridiplantae; Streptophyta; Magnoliopsida; Lamiales; Oleaceae
Description: long non-coding RNA (OEUR_LNC013745)
Source: RNAcentral